GCCCUGUCGUUCAAACCCCAUCCAGGGGAAAUGCGUAUACACGGUUUCAAAACCCGUCCAGUGUGAGUUCGAGUCUCACCGAGGGCACCA
RNAcentral lists this transfer RNA (90 nucleotides) under Rhodococcus sp. (in: high G+C Gram-positive bacteria). Its description in RNAcentral is "Rhodococcus sp. (freshwater metagenome) tRNA-Leu". Lineage: Bacteria; Bacillati; Actinomycetota; Actinomycetes; Mycobacteriales; Nocardiaceae. The record is from RNAcentral.